Molecule: ribosomal RNA, 274 nt
Filed under: uncultured bacterium
Lineage: Bacteria
Description: partial 16S ribosomal RNA
Rfam family: Archaeal small subunit ribosomal RNA
Source: RNAcentral
AAACCAGCACCUCAAGUGGUCAGGAUGAUUAUUGGGCCUAAAGCAUCCGUAGCCUGCUCUGUAAGUUUUCGGUUAAAUCUGUACGCUUAACGUACAGGCUGCCGGGAAUACUGCAGAGCUAGGGAGUGGGAGAGGUAGACGGUACUCGGGAGGAAGUGGUAAAAUGCUUUGAUCUCUCGAUGACCACCUGUGGCGAAGGCGGUCUACCAGAACACGUCCGACGGUGAGGGAUGAAAGCUGGGGGAGCAAACCGGAUUAGAAACCCGGGUAGUCC